This 70-nucleotide transfer RNA is filed under the name Albinaria caerulea. RNAcentral's name for it is "tRNA=Phe". The record is from RNAcentral. Lineage: Eukaryota; Metazoa; Mollusca; Gastropoda; Stylommatophora; Clausiliidae.
UAAUUAAUAGCUUAUAAUGAAUAAAGCGUGGCUUUGAAGGGGCUUAGAAAGAAAAUUUUUCUUUAAUUAA